AUAUCAUCAUGAAUGGUGGUCAAAUACUGAGAGGAGGAGGAGUGAAUCCCAUAGAGCCUCGAGCACAAGAAAAAAGCGACAUUGCUUUAAUCACGAGAACAAAUGAGGCCCUUAGAUGCAUAAGAUACCAAACGCCAUUUUACCCAAAAUGUUGUUAAGUAUAUCACUGUCUUCCUCAAACAUCCCUCUAUCUCGAUAGUGAGUCCGAUGUACAAAAUGCAUAUCACAAUAGGGUCGAAAUUCCCGAAGAGUGUAGGUAACUUUUUUCCUUAAUGCGCUCUCGCCUGCUACUGCACGUUGACAUUGGCUGCAGAAGGUACAGGUAACUCUCGAUUUACGCGAGUAUUGCGUUCUUGGAGAGGUCGCGUAAAUCAAAAACAAUGUAAAUCAAACAAGAGGUAGGUUUCUGUCGAAAAAUAAAUACCGUAUUUUUCAGCGUAUAGCGCACACCUUUUUCUCAAAAAAAUGCCUGAAAGUUUAGCCCUGCGCCUUGUACGCCGAAUGUACAAAUUUUUAAUAAUUUUUUUCUUUUUUGGGGUGUUUUUAGUGGUCUGUUUUUUGUCUUAUCCAAUAACAACGGCAAACUUUCCUUUAUCAUUGUAUAUAAUCCUUCAUAGUCCGUAGCUGUCUUAUAAUAUGUUACCAUAGAAUACAGGGCGAUCUAAUAACUACUAUACAAAAUUGAAAUCGAUGGAGGAUUCCCCAUGCCUUGCUGUUAUCCCGUUUUUCCGUCGGGCGCCAUUUGUAUGAUCUUGAUCUUGAUGUCACAGGUGGCUUAAGAUUGUAUGACUACGGAGCAGUACAAGCUACAUAAAAAAUCAUAUUGGAAAAAAAUACCCAUGUGUUCAUUAUUAAUUAUUAAUAUUAGUGAGAAUAAUGGGGUAAAUAUGAUAUCAGAAACUGUACAUCAUGAGUCUUGUACGAGGAGAUAUUUCGCGCAAUACCAGCCAGGCCGCCAUUUGCAUUGUUUACAAACCACACAACCACACCCAUACAACAAACAGCUGCAUGGCGCGUGUCACCAGAAACGUGUGAAUUGUGUCUUGCCUAGUUCUCUGUCAUAACCUACGAGUGAUGGUGGGAAUAAUAUGCUUAUUCACUUCAUUCAAGAGAGAGAGAGAGAGAGAGAGAGAGAGAGAGAGAGAAUAUCCAUAUCACCGAGAUAUCCACUCAGGCACUCAGUCUCAGCCUCACUCGUGUGAGGAAGAAAUGAGGGACACCAUGAGUGGCUAGCUAGUAUUGGUACCGGUACCGAGCAGUCUGGUACCGGUACUGUACCAUAUAGCUAGUACCGUUAGUACCGGUAACUGCCCACCCCUAUUGUUGAGUAGCGUGGCAGCGUGGGUACUGUAUUGUUGUUCAAGUGGCGCGCGGGAAGAACUGAGCUCUGCUGUGUGGCCGCGGCGCUAUGUGAGUCCAGUUGCGUGAGACAUCUGGUGGCCACUCCAUAAAAUAUCGCGUAUAAGUGGAAAAAACGUGUAAAUAAA
Long non-coding RNA from Eriocheir sinensis (Chinese mitten crab), 1487 nucleotides. RefSeq lists it as uncharacterized. The transcript has 2 exons. The record is from RefSeq and is a predicted model, not a curated record. NCBI's taxonomy places the organism in Eukaryota, Metazoa, Arthropoda, Malacostraca, Decapoda, Varunidae.